RNAcentral lists this long non-coding RNA (205 nucleotides) under Theobroma cacao (cacao). Its description in RNAcentral is "long non-coding RNA (TCAC_LNC000476)". The record is from RNAcentral. Lineage: Eukaryota; Viridiplantae; Streptophyta; Magnoliopsida; Malvales; Malvaceae.
UUUCGUGCAUCUAGACGUUCUAGCAAACAUCUCCAAAUACAGGGCAUAUCAUUAUCCCUAAGGUCUCUAACAUGAGAGCAUAUCACCAUCUUCAUUGUCUCCAAAGAUUAUCACACAUUGUUAAGCUUACUUUCAAAGCCAAUCAAAGUUAUUCAAAUCAUUCUCCAUGACACACUCUAGUUACCAAAGAGCCACAUUAGAAUCA